CAGUCGCCGCGGUAAUACGGAGGGUGCAAGCGUUAAUCGGAAUUACUGGGCGUAAAGCGUGCGUAGGCGGCUUCUUAAGUCGGAUGUGAAAUCCCUGAGCUUAACUUAGGAAUUGCAUUCGAUACUGGGAAGCUAGAGUAUGGGAGAGGAUGGUAGAAUUCCAGGUGUAGCGGUGAAAUGCGUAGAGAUCUGGAGGAAUACCGAUGGCGAAGGCAGCCAUCUGGCCUAAUACUGACGCUGAGGUACGAAAGCAUGGGGAGCAAACAGGAUUAGAUACCCCUGUAGUCCCUGUCUCUUAUAC
This 301-nucleotide ribosomal RNA is filed under the name uncultured bacterium. RNAcentral's name for it is "partial 16S ribosomal RNA". It matches the Rfam family "Bacterial small subunit ribosomal RNA", at positions 509 to 807 of the family's 1533-position model. The record is from RNAcentral.